AGCAUUGUGAAUGAGUUCUUUCUCAAUUAAUAUUUGUGUUGUUAUUAGAAGCAAGAACUUGACAUAUGGAUAAGUAAUAUCGGUGAUGAAAAUAAACAACUCUUCGAAUGGCUAUAAGCUUGGAGGAAAGAAUACGGAAGGAGAAACAACUUCAUUUCUGUACGCUUUAAAUAUCCAAUCCAUCAGACUGUCUAUACAGCUCAGCAUUGUUGGUAUUGCUUGGGAAGAAAUGAGAUUUGCGAUGUGAAUAAUGAGACAUGAAAUGGAUCUACGAAAAGAUUGGCAUACAAAUAUAGCAGCACAUUCUAUGGUCAUAGAGGAAGACAAUAUGUUGCCUUAGUUAUAUAUAUUUUUUUAUUUGUUAUAUAUCUUAUACUCAGUAGCAGCAUGAACACUGAAUAUGAAAAAGCUAGACAUGAAACUUAUAAAAACUUGAAUUAAUGUUUGUUACAAUGGUGUCAAGCAUGUAUAUAUGUAAACCAAAAACAUAUUUGCUUUGCUAUAUGUAUAUAAAAUAAUUUUAUUGAAAGCACUUCUUUUCUAUUUCUAAGGCAGAUUUUCAAAUAGAAUUUAUUAAG
This is a long non-coding RNA of Hydractinia symbiolongicarpus, 578 nucleotides long. RefSeq lists it as uncharacterized. NCBI's taxonomy places the organism in Eukaryota, Metazoa, Cnidaria, Hydrozoa, Anthoathecata, Hydractiniidae. The record is from RefSeq and is a predicted model, not a curated record. The transcript has 3 exons.